AGAGUUUGAUCCUGGCUCAGGAUGAACGCUAGCGGCAGGCUUAAUACAUGCAAGUCGAGGGGCAGCACAGGUAGCAAUACUGGGUGGCGACCGGCAAACGGGUGCGGAACACGUACGCAACCUUCCUUUAAGCGGAGAAUAGCCCAGGGAAACUUGGAUUAAUACUCCAUAAGAUUAUGGUGUGGCAUCACACAGUAAUUAAAGCUCCGGCACUUAAAGAUGGGCGUGCGGCUGAUUAGGUAGUUGGCGGGGUAACGGCCCACCAAGCCAACGAUCAGUAACUGGUGUGAGAGCACGACCAGUCACACGGGCACUGAGACACGGGCCCGACUCCUACGGGAGGCAGCAGUAAGGAAUAUUGGUCAAUGGACGCAAGUCUGAACCAGCCAUGCCGCGUGGAGGAUGAAGGCCCUCUGGGUUGUAAACUUCUUUUAUUUGGGAAGAAACCCAUCUUUUCUAAGGUGGUUGACGGUACCAGAUGAAUAAGCACCGGCUAACUCCGUGCCAGCAGCCGCGGUAAUACGGAGGGUGCAAGCGUUAUCCGGAUUCACUGGGUUUAAAGGGUGCGUAGGUGGGCAGGUAAGUCAGUGGUGAAAUCUCCGGGCUUAACCCGGAAACUGCCGUUGAUACUAUCUGUCUUGAAUGUAGUGGAGGUGAGCGGAAUAUGUCAUGUAGCGGUGAAAUGCUUAGAUAUGACAUAGAACACCCAUUGCGAAGGCAGCUCGCUACACUAUUAUUGACACUGAGGCACGAAAGCGUGGGGAUCAAACAGGAUUAGAUACCCUAGUAGUCC
RNAcentral lists this ribosomal RNA (793 nucleotides) under uncultured bacterium. RNAcentral's name for it is "bacterial SSU rRNA". It matches the Rfam family "Bacterial small subunit ribosomal RNA", at positions 8 to 796 of the family's 1533-position model. The record is from RNAcentral.